RNAcentral lists this ribosomal RNA (448 nucleotides) under uncultured bacterium. Its description in RNAcentral is "partial 16S ribosomal RNA". It matches the Rfam family "Bacterial small subunit ribosomal RNA", at positions 330 to 794 of the family's 1533-position model. The record is from RNAcentral.
UCCAGACUCCUACGGGAGGCAGCAGUGGGGGAUAUUGCACAAUGGGGGGAACCCUGAUGCAGCGACGCCGCGUGGGUGAAGGAGCGUUUCGGCGCGUAAAGCCCUAUCGGCAGGGAAGAAGGAGGACGGUACCUGACUAAGAAGCCCCGGAUAACUACGUGCCAGCAGCCGCGGUAAUACGUAGGGGGCAAGCGUUAUCCGGAUUUACUGGGUGUAAAGGGGGCGCAGACGGCAGCGCAAGCCAGGAGUGAAAGCCCGGGGCCCAACCCCGGGACUGCUCUUGGAACUGCGCGGCUGGAGUGCAGGAGGGGCAGGCGGAAUUCCUGGUGUAGCGGUGAAAUGCGUAGAUAUCAGGAGGAACACCGGUGGCGAAGGCGGCCUGCUGGACUGCGACUGACGUUGAGGCCCGAAAGCGUGGGGAGCAAACAGGAUUAGAUACCCCCGUAGU